GUCGAAGCCAAAAGCUCUCGCCCUAGUCGACGGUGACCUUCAUAAUGUUCGACGGGGUCUGAGCCACCUAGUCGUUUCAGACUUCAAGCAGUCCUUCCCUCUCGCCAUCAACUCGUCUCCAGCGUCUCUCAGCUCAGCUCAGCUUCUCUGUCUUUGGUUCCCAAGAAGAUCAGCUCCCUUCGAUUCCUGCAAUGCUUCUCCGAUUCUGAUUACAGGAAAGCUCGCUGGUUAUCUCUGUUGUUCGUAGACUGCUACUCAAUUACAUCACUGGACCUUUGACACCCCUGAAUAGUGCAUCUUAUCCUAUAUUUUCUGAAGGAAGCCAGCCUGGUGUUAUACAAAGAGUUAGUUCUG
Long non-coding RNA from Rosa rugosa (rugosa rose), 354 nucleotides. RefSeq lists it as uncharacterized. The record is from RefSeq and is a predicted model, not a curated record. NCBI's taxonomy places the organism in Eukaryota, Viridiplantae, Streptophyta, Magnoliopsida, Rosales, Rosaceae. The transcript has 3 exons.